UACUGUCACCAGCUGCACUGAGAGCUAAAAUAACUGCAAAAGGCUGAACCCAGCUCAACAAAGUCUGAAGCGAGCAGAAUCUUUCAAUAAUGUGGAAAUGUGUGCAGCAGGGGAUGUGAGUAUGACUAGCUGGACCAGAAUUUAUUGCCCAUCCAUAACUACCCUGGAGAAGUUGGUGGUGAGCUAACGUUUUGAACUGCUGCUGUCCAUUUCACAUAAGUACACCCCCAAUGCUGUUAAGGAAGGAAUUCCAGGAUUUUGAUCCAGUGGCACUGAAGGAAUAUAUUCUUCCAGGCACCUACCAAGUCAGGAUGACUUGUGAAUGAAGAAGAUCAUGAAAGGAAACAGUAUAAAAGUAGUGACAUGCUUUUCCUUUGAAACUAAAAUAAAAACAUUUCUGCUUCCAUGACUUGAUGGCAUGAACACACUGAGAAGGCAACUUCAAUGGUCCUCAUUAAAUGCAUGUUCAGUGAUGAAUAUUAAUUGGAUGUGGUGUUAAUGGAUGUCAGCAUGUUUGGUUGGUUGGGAUAUUAUUUCAAGAUUAAUAUUUCAACAGUAGCAAAUAAAUACAUUCCCAAAGUGUGCUGUUUCUGGUUGUAAAAAAUUGUCUGGCAGACCAGGAGGUUACCAAAUAAGGGAAACACACAAGCUAUUUGCCUUCUUAUGUGCCAAGGGGAGGUAGUGAGUUUUACUUGCUGAGAUGUGAAUAUUGAUGCCUUGUAAUGUAUA
Stegostoma tigrinum is the source of this 729-nucleotide long non-coding RNA. RefSeq lists it as uncharacterized. The transcript is spliced from 3 exons. The record is from RefSeq and is a predicted model, not a curated record. NCBI's taxonomy places the organism in Eukaryota, Metazoa, Chordata, Chondrichthyes, Orectolobiformes, Stegostomatidae.